Molecule: long non-coding RNA, 98 nt
Organism: Etheostoma spectabile (orangethroat darter)
Lineage: Eukaryota; Metazoa; Chordata; Actinopteri; Perciformes; Percidae
Exons: 4
Source: RefSeq, a predicted model, not a curated record
UUGAACCCUGUGAGUAACUGAUUUACAUCAUUAACAUUAUUUAUAUGACGCAUCUUAUAAAAAUAACUCUACUUGUGUUGGACAACAAAAAAGUGACA